GACGAACGCUGGCGGCGUGCCUAAUACAUGCAAGUAGAACGCUGAAGAGAGGAGCUUGCUCUUCUUGGAUGAGUUGCGAACGGGUGAGUAACGCGUAGGUAACCUGCCUUGUAGCGGGGGAUAACUAUUGGAAACGAUAGCUAAUACCGCAUAACAAUGGAUGACACAUGUCAUUUAUUUGAAAGGGGCAAUUGCUCCACUACAAGAUGGACCUGCGUUGUACUAGCUAGUAGGUGAGGUAAUGGCUCACCUAGGCGACGAUACAUAGCCGACCUGAGAGGGUGAUCGGCCACACUGGGACUGAGACACGGCCCAGACUCCUACGGGAGGCAGCAGUAGGGAAUCUUCGGCAAUGGGGGCAACCCUGACCGAGCAACGCCGCGUGAGUGAAGAAGGUUUUCGGAUCGUAAAGCUCUGUUGUAAGUCAAGAACGGGUGUGAGAGUGGAAAGUUCACACUGUGACGGUAGCUUACCAGAAAGGGACGGCUAACUACGUG
This 497-nucleotide ribosomal RNA is filed under the name uncultured bacterium. RNAcentral's name for it is "partial 16S ribosomal RNA". It matches the Rfam family "Bacterial small subunit ribosomal RNA", at positions 28 to 507 of the family's 1533-position model. The record is from RNAcentral.